UACGUAGGGUGCGAGCGUUAAUCGGAAUUACUGGGCGUAAAGCGUGCGCAGGCGGUUCGCCCAGUCAGGUGUGAAAUCCCCGGGCUUAACCUGGGAAUUGCGCUUGAAACUAGCGGGCUUGAGUGUGGCAGAGGGGGGUGGAAUUCCACGUGUAGCAGUGAAAUGCGUAGAUAUCAGGAGGAACACCGGCGGUGUAGACGGCUUUCUGGACCGUAGCUGACGCUGAGACACGAAAGCGUGGGUAGCAAACAGG
RNAcentral lists this ribosomal RNA (253 nucleotides) under uncultured bacterium. Its description in RNAcentral is "partial 16S ribosomal RNA". It matches the Rfam family "Bacterial small subunit ribosomal RNA", at positions 524 to 776 of the family's 1533-position model. The record is from RNAcentral.